AGUCCCGUGGUGUAGCGGUCAAGCAUACUGGCCUUUGGAGCCCGUGACGGAGGUUCGAAUCCUCCCGGGACUA
RNAcentral lists this transfer RNA (73 nucleotides) under Methanosarcinales archaeon. Its description in RNAcentral is "tRNA-Gln". It matches the Rfam family "tRNA". Rfam says of the family: Transfer RNA (tRNA) molecules are approximately 80 nucleotides in length. Their secondary structure includes four short double-helical elements and three loops (D, anti-codon, and T loops). Further hydrogen bonds mediate the characteristic L-shaped molecular structure. tRNAs have two regions of fundamental functional importance: the anti-codon, which is responsible for specific mRNA codon recognition, and the 3' end, to which the tRNAs corresponding amino acid is attached (by aminoacyl-tRNA synthetases). tRNAs cope with the degeneracy of the genetic code in two manners: having more than one tRNA (with a specific anti-codon) for a particular amino acid; and 'wobble' base-pairing, i.e. permitting non-standard base-pairing at the 3rd anti-codon position. The record is from RNAcentral. RNAcentral also lists the same sequence under 1 other name. Lineage: Archaea; Methanobacteriati; Methanobacteriota; Methanomicrobia; Methanosarcinales.